GGAGAUGUGUCCGAGCUGGCUGAAGGAGCACGAUUGGAAAUCGUGUAAACGUGUGAGCGUUUCUAGGGUUCGAAUCCCUACAUCUCCGCCA
Molecule: transfer RNA, 91 nt
Filed under: Candidatus Cloacimonadota bacterium
Lineage: Bacteria; Pseudomonadati; Candidatus Cloacimonadota
Also listed under: 1 other name
Description: tRNA-Ser
Rfam family: tRNA
About the family: Transfer RNA (tRNA) molecules are approximately 80 nucleotides in length. Their secondary structure includes four short double-helical elements and three loops (D, anti-codon, and T loops).
Source: RNAcentral